This is a long non-coding RNA of Frankliniella occidentalis (western flower thrips), 717 nucleotides long. RefSeq lists it as uncharacterized. NCBI's taxonomy places the organism in Eukaryota, Metazoa, Arthropoda, Insecta, Thysanoptera, Thripidae. The transcript has 3 exons. The record is from RefSeq and is a predicted model, not a curated record.
UCUCUUUUUUCAUUCAACCCUUUGCUGCCGUGUCUCCCUCUAUUAAUUUACAUGCCUACGCACAUGCGUGCGACAGAGAGAGACCGGGGGAAGGGGUUGAUGUUUGGCAGGGAGUGUGAGAGAGAUGGACGAAGGAUUGCCAAUGAUGCAUACGAGGGGGAGAGAGAGGGGACGAGGAAGAGAGGUCACGCUAACACGGAAGCAAGCAGACAAACGUGCGAUAUACGAACCAAGAGGAGAGGGAAAUGAAAAAAGAAGCAGGGGGGUUAGGUAGGUUGGAGUCGUUAGGCAGAUUCAGUCUGGAGCUCACACCGAGCGCGAGAUGAGCGGUCGGACCAGGCAGGAGGCUGAUGCGGCAGCCGGGCGGCGGGCACCAGGACGACGACCAGGAUGAGGAAAAGAGUUGACGGUGGCCUCGGACAGGGCGUCGUCGUUGUGAAACUGAAAGUAUGCGGUGGCGACGACGACAUCAUUUGGAUAUUCUCUUGUCGCCGACUGAAAUUGCGGCCAAUCGGGCCAGCAAUAACGACGUAAACCAACGUGCUGCGGUGAAGUGACGUCACCAUCACCACCACCACCGGCCCGCUGACGAAGUUCGACGUGUCGUUUGUGCAACAGUAUGCUGCUGGAAGGUGCGCCGGUUUUUAUUCGUCGCGUGUUGCGUGGCGAGGCCCUCGGCGGAGCGUCCGGCAGUCAGUCGCGGCCCCCUUAUGAGUG